GGGCAAAGGUUGGGCAAGAUUCUGGCAAAACUUCGAUUCAGGCUGCAUCAAAGUUUCACCCAAGUUUCACACAACUCUUGCCA
Molecule: microRNA precursor, 83 nt
Filed under: Caenorhabditis elegans
Lineage: Eukaryota; Metazoa; Nematoda; Chromadorea; Rhabditida; Rhabditidae
Description: mir-266 microRNA precursor family
Rfam family: mir-266 microRNA precursor family
Source: Rfam by way of RNAcentral